Molecule: ribosomal RNA, 697 nt
Filed under: uncultured bacterium
Lineage: Bacteria
Description: bacterial SSU rRNA
Rfam family: Bacterial small subunit ribosomal RNA
Source: RNAcentral
AGAGUUUGAUCAUGGCUCAGAAUGAACGUUGGCGGCGUGGAUUAGGCAUGCAAGUCGAGCGAUCAUCAGCAAUGGUGAGAGCGGCGAACGGCGUAGGAAUUCAUAGGAACGUACCCUCAGGUCGGGGAUAGCUAUGGGAAACUGUAGGUAAUACCCGAUGAUCUCUGCGGAGCAAAGGUGUGAUUCCGCCUGAGGAGCGGCUUAUGCGAUAUUAGCUAGUUGGUGGGGUAAUGGCCUACCAAGGCAACGAUGUCUAGGGGGUGUGAGAGCAUGGCCCCCACGACCGGAACUGAGAUACUGUCCGGACACCUACGGGUGGCUGCAGUCGAGAAUCUUCCGCAAUGGACGAAAGUCUGACGGAGCGACGCCGCGUGCGGGAUGAAGGCCCUUGGGUUGUAAACCGCUGUCAGAGGGGAUGAAAUCUUCGGAGGUACUCCUCCGAAGUUGACAGAGCCUCAAAGGAAGCACGGGCUAAGUACGUGCCAGCAGCCGCGGUAACACGUACUGUGCGAACGUUAUUCGGAAUCACUGGGCUUAAAGGGUGCGUAGGCGGCAAUUCAAGUCAGGUGUGAAAUGCCUGAGCUCAACUGAGGCAUUGCGCUUGAAACUGAUUUGCUAGAGUAUCCCAGGGGUGUGCGGAACUGCCAGUGGAGCGGUGAAAUGUGUUGAUAUUGGCAGGAACACCGGAGGCGAAAGC